UUCCGGUUGAUCCUGCCGGAGGCUACCGCUAUUGGAGUUCGAUUAAGCCAUGCGAGUCGAGAGUCUUAGGGACUCGGCGUACCGCUCAGUAACACGUGGGUAACCUGCCCUAUGCUGGGGGAUAACCUCGGGAAACUGAGAAUAAUACCCCAUAGUUCACCACGCCUGGAACGGUGGGUGGACCAAAGCUCCGGCGGCAUAGGAUGGGCCUGCGGCGUAUCAGGUUGUAGGGGGUGUAAUGUACCCUCUAGCCCUCUACGCGUACGGGUGUUGAGAGACAUCGCCCGGAGAUGGAUUCUGAGACACGAAUCCAGACCCUACGGGGUGCAGCAGGCGCGAAAACUUGGCAAUGCGAGAAAUCGUGACCAGGGAACUCCAAGUGCAUCGGGUAAGACCGAUGCUUUUCUUGACUCUUAAAAGGUCUUGGAAUAAGGGGUGGGUAAGGACGGUGCCAGCCGCCGCGGUAAUACCGGCGCCCCAAGUGGUAGUCGCUUUUAUUGGGCCUAAAACGUCCGUAGCCGGUCUGGUACAUUCGUGGGUAAAUCAACCAGCUCAACUGGUUGAAUUCUGCGAGCACGGCCAGACUUGGGACCGGGAGAGGUGUGGGGUACUCUCAGGGUAGGGGUAAAAUCCUGUCAUCCUGAGAGGACCACCUGUUGCGAAGGCGCCACACUAGAACGGAUCCGACGGUCAGGGACGAAGCCUAGGGGCACGAACCGGAUUAGAUACCCGGGUAGUCCUAGGUGUAAACGCUGUGGACUUGAUGUUGGGGGCGCUCCGAGCGCACUCAGUGUCGAAGCGAAGGUGAUAAGUCCACUGCCUGGGGAGUACGGUCGCAAGGCUGAAACUUAAAGGAAUUGGCGGGGGAGCACUGCAACCUGAGGAUUGUGCGGUUUAAUUGGAUUCAACGCCGGA
This 915-nucleotide ribosomal RNA is filed under the name uncultured marine archaeon. RNAcentral's name for it is "bacterial SSU rRNA". It matches the Rfam family "Archaeal small subunit ribosomal RNA", at positions 1 to 922 of the family's 1478-position model. The record is from RNAcentral.